Molecule: ribosomal RNA, 434 nt
Filed under: uncultured bacterium
Lineage: Bacteria
Description: bacterial SSU rRNA
Rfam family: Bacterial small subunit ribosomal RNA
Source: RNAcentral
GGAUGAAUAUUGGUCAAUGGGCGGGAGCCUGAACCAGCCAAGCCGCGUGAGGGAAGAAGGCCCUAUGGGUCGUAAACCUCUUUUGUCAGGGAACAAAAGCGAGUAUGUAUACUGGUCUGAGUGUACCUGAAGAAAAAGCAUCGGCUAACUCCGUGCCAGCAGCCGCGGUAAUACGGAGGAUGCGAGCGUUAUCCGGAUUUAUUGGGUUUAAAGGGUGCGUAGGCGGCGGUGCAAGUCAGCGGUAAAAGCCCGGGGCUCAACCCCGGCGAGCCGUUGAAACUGCAGUGCUAGAGAAGGCGAGAGGUACGCGGAAUGCGCAGUGUAGCGGUGAAAUUGCUUAGAUAUUGCGCAGAACCCCGAUUGCGAAGGCAGCGUACUGGCGCCUGACUGACGCUGAGGCACGAAAGCGUGGGGAUCGAACAGGAUUAGAUACC